CACUUCCUCCCAUUUCCUGUGGGCAGCCAGAGGCCUGAACGCAGCUGCUCUGCUGCCUGGGGCCUGACAAAGGGAGUCCAGACCGCACCCUGCUCAUCUACUGCCUCAUCUUUUAGCUCUGCCUAACCCCUCAGCCCCAUUCUGCUGAGUCCUUGAGGCCACCUCCACCAAAAGCUACUGCGCAUGGCUUUAUUUAUCAUGGCUUUUCAAGUGCACAAGCAAAACACAGGGAGGAGUUGAAAAAGUACUUCACGGCUGGGAACAAGCCAGGGCUGUCCCUCAUCAGGAAGAAGUCUUAAAAAGUGAUUUCCUAUUUUCAAUUCCAUGAGGUAAUAUAAGUAAAAAGAACCCCAGCAUGGGCUGGCGACGGCCUCGUGCUAACCUACCUGCUGGGCAGGCCUGGGCCUCCUGUGAACAGAACUGGGGCAGAACAUCUAACUCCGCCCACCCUUAGUUAUUCUCAAGAGGCCAUGAAAUCCGAAUUCCCAUUUCCCAGAAAACCGCUGCCAGGCCAGCACAAACGCCCCCUGCACUUGGUAGUUACGUUCCUCGCUGUUAAUUAAGGAGCCAGCAGGCGGGUGCACACAGCACUCCCCUGCCACUCUGCCCAGUGACCAGAUAGCAUGGAGGACCACUCGACAGAAGGAAUGUUCUCAGCCCAGGCCGGCACCAACGCAGGUGCUCCUGAGGCCCAGCCAACAACAACUUCACCCAGGGCUCAUGAACUGGGGCAGGAAGCACCUGGCCAGUGACCCCCAUCCAAAGGACUGAGUUCACAUCCAAGCUCCUCCACCCCAAGACCCACCAUCCCAAAUGCCACCUGCACAGAGGGUUGCCUCGAGGCCAGGCCCCAUAAGGUUCCACACUCUUCAGUCUGCUGGGGGCCUCCAAGCCUGCUUCACUGGCCUGUCACCUGCUGGACUAUGCAGCCUGUUUGUGUUCACACUUCACCGUCUAGGAAGGACUCCUGGACGUCAAUUUUCUGCAACACCUGGAACCAGACAGACAGAGAGAACUUGACUUGUUCAGGUCCUAGGUGACUGUGCAAUGUGAGUGGGUUACGAGGCCCAAAGGUUUACAGAGACAGCAGCUGAGAUCACAGGCCAAACCCCAAAGAAACUCUGGCACAGGAGGACGCUGUGGAACUAACGACUCUCUUAAAAGCUUCCUGAUCCAUCUCUGCUCACCACCUGGCAGAGACAGCUUAUCUCUCAUUGGUGGGAAUCUGAGCCUAGGGUCAGAGCAGUAAGCAAAGCCUGUUCUUCACACAUGGGGAGGAUAUAGGAACAUGCCUUCACCACGUCUGCAACCCGGGAAGGAGAGACGUUACCUCCCCUAAGCACACCCUGUACUUGCCAUGUUUCAUAGGGAACAAACCGAAACCACCUCCUGCUAUCCCCCGCCUUUGCUGACACCUGUAAAGCUGCCAACCCGCCUCUGCACAUACCUGCAUC
This is a long non-coding RNA of Symphalangus syndactylus (siamang), 1454 nucleotides long. RefSeq lists it as uncharacterized. The record is from RefSeq and is a predicted model, not a curated record. Lineage: Eukaryota; Metazoa; Chordata; Mammalia; Primates; Hylobatidae.